Molecule: ribosomal RNA, 2907 nt
Filed under: Salmonella enterica subsp. enterica serovar Abortusequi
Lineage: Bacteria; Pseudomonadati; Pseudomonadota; Gammaproteobacteria; Enterobacterales; Enterobacteriaceae
Description: 23S ribosomal RNA
Rfam family: Bacterial large subunit ribosomal RNA
Source: RNAcentral
GGUUAAGCGACUAAGCGUACACGGUGGAUGCCCUGGCAGUCAGAGGCGAUGAAGGGCGUGCUAAUCUGCGAUAAGCGCCGGUAAGGUGAUAUGAACCGUUAUAACCGGCGAUACCCGAAUGGGGAAACCCAGUGUGACUCGUCACACUAUCAUUAACUGAAUCCAUAGGUUAAUGAGGCGAACCGGGGGAACUGAAACAUCUAAGUACCCCGAGGAAAAGAAAUCAACCGAGAUUCCCCCAGUAGCGGCGAGCGAACGGGGAGGAGCCCAGAGCCUGAAUCAGCAUGUGUGUUAGUGGAAGCGUCUGGAAAGGCGCGCGAUACAGGGUGACAGCCCCGUACACAAAAGCGCAUGUGCUGUGAGCUCGAUGAGUAGGGCGGGACACGUGGUAUCCUGUCUGAAUAUGGGGGGACCAUCCUCCAAGGCUAAAUACUCCUGACUGACCGAUAGUGAACCAGUACCGUGAGGGAAAGGCGAAAAGAACCCCGGCGAGGGGAGUGAAAAAGAACCUGAAACCGUGUACGUACAAGCAGUGGGAGCACAGGUUUACCUGUGUGACUGCGUACCUUUUGUAUAAUGGGUCAGCGACUUAUAUUCUGUAGCAAGGUUAACCGAAUAGGGGAGCCGCAGGGAAACCGAGUCUUAAUUGGGCGUUAAGUUGCAGGGUAUAGACCCGAAACCCGGUGAUCUAGCCAUGGGCAGGUUGAAGGUUGGGUAACACUAACUGGAGGACCGAACCGACUAAUGUUGAAAAAUUAGCGGAUGACCUGUGGCUGGGGGUGAAAGGCCAAUCAAACCGGGAGAUAGCUGGUUCUCCCCGAAAGCUAUUUAGGUAGCGCCUCGUGAAUUCAUCUCCGGGGGUAGAGCACUGUUUCGGCUAGGGGGCCAUCCCGGCUUACCAACCCGAUGCAAACUGCGAAUACCGGAGAAUGUUAUCACGGGAGACACACGGCGGGUGCUAACGUCCGUCGUGAAGAGGGAAACAACCCAGACCGCCAGCUAAGGUCCCAAAGUCAUGGUUAAGUGGGAAACGAUGUGGGAAGGCCCAGACAGCCAGGAUGUUGGCUUAGAAGCAGCCAUCAUUUAAAGAAAGCGUAAUAGCUCACUGGUCGAGUCGGCCUGCGCGGAAGAUGUAACGGGGCUAAACCAUGCACCGAAGCUGCGGCAGCGACACUAUGUGUUGUUGGGUAGGGGAGCGUUCUGUAAGCCUGUGAAGGUGUGUCGUGAGGCAUGCUGGAGGUAUCAGAAGUGCGAAUGCUGACAUAAGUAACGAUAAAGCGGGUGAAAAGCCCGCUCGCCGGAAGACCAAGGGUUCCUGUCCAACGUUAAUCGGGGCAGGGUGAGUCGACCCCUAAGGCGAGGCCGAAAGGCGUAGUCGAUGGGAAACGGGUUAAUAUUCCCGUACUUGGUGUUACUGCGAAGGGGGGACGGAGAAGGCUAUGUUGGCCGGGCGACGGUUGUCCCGGUUUAAGCGUGUAGGUGUGUGUUCCAGGUAAAUCCGGUUCACUUUAACACUGAGGCGUGACGACGAGGCACUACGGUGCUGAAGCAACAAAUGCCCUGCUUCCAGGAAAAGCCUCUAAGCAUCAGGUAACAUCAAAUCGUACCCCAAACCGACACAGGUGGUCAGGUAGAGAAUACCAAGGCGCUUGAGAGAACUCGGGUGAAGGAACUAGGCAAAAUGGUGCCGUAACUUCGGGAGAAGGCACGCUGACACGUAGGUGAAGUGAUUUACUCACGGAGCUGAAGUCAGUCGAAGAUACCAGCUGGCUGCAACUGUUUAUUAAAAACACAGCACUGUGCAAACACGAAAGUGGACGUAUACGGUGUGACGCCUGCCCGGUGCCGGAAGGUUAAUUGAUGUGGUCAGCGCAAGCGAAGCUCCUGAUCGAAGCCCCGGUAAACGGCGGCCGUAACUAUAACGGUCCUAAGGUAGCGAAAUUCCUUGUCGGGUAAGUUCCGACCUGCACGAAUGGCGUAAUGAUGGCCAGGCUGUCUCCACCCGAGACUCAGUGAAAUUGAACUCGCUGUGAAGAUGCAGUGUACCCGCGGCAAGACGGAAAGACCCCGUGAACCUUUACUAUAGCUUGACACUGAACAUUGAGCCUUGAUGUGUAGGAUAGGUGGGAGGCUUUGAAGCGUGGACGCCAGUCUGCAUGGAGCCGACCUUGAAAUACCACCCUUUAAUGUUUGAUGUUCUAACGUGGACCCGUUACCCGGGUUGCGGACAGUGUCUGGUGGGUAGUUUGACUGGGGCGGUCUCCUCCUAAAGAGUAACGGAGGAGCACGAAGGUUGGCUAAUCCUGGUCGGACAUCAGGAGGUUAGUGCAAUGGCAUAAGCCAGCUUGACUGCGAGCGUGACGGCGCGAGCAGGUGCGAAAGCAGGUCAUAGUGAUCCGGUGGUUCUGAAUGGAAGGGCCAUCGCUCAACGGAUAAAAGGUACUCCGGGGAUAACAGGCUGAUACCGCCCAAGAGUUCAUAUCGACGGCGGUGUUUGGCACCUCGAUGUCGGCUCAUCACAUCCUGGGGCUGAAGUAGGUCCCAAGGGUAUGGCUGUUCGCCAUUUAAAGUGGUACGCGAGCUGGGUUUAGAACGUCGUGAGACAGUUCGGUCCCUAUCUGCCGUGGGCGCUGGAGAACUGAGGGGGGCUGCUCCUAGUACGAGAGGACCGGAGUGGACGCAUCACUGGUGUUCGGGUUGUCAUGCCAAUGGCACUGCCCGGUAGCUAAAUGCGGAAGAGAUAAGUGCUGAAAGCAUCUAAGCACGAAACUUGCCCCGAGAUGAGUUCUCCCUGAGACUUUAAGUCUCCUGAAGGAACGUUGAAGACGACGACGUUGAUAGGCCGGGUGUGUAAGCGCAGCGAUGCGUUGAGCUAACCGGUACUAAUGAACCGUGAGGCUUAACCUU